This is a small nuclear RNA of Carassius auratus (goldfish), 157 nucleotides long. Its record names the gene U1. It matches the Rfam family "U1 spliceosomal RNA". From Rfam's summary of the family: U1 is a small nuclear RNA (snRNA) component of the spliceosome (involved in pre-mRNA splicing). Its 5' end forms complementary base pairs with the 5' splice junction, thus defining the 5' donor site of an intron. NCBI's taxonomy places the organism in Eukaryota, Metazoa, Chordata, Actinopteri, Cypriniformes, Cyprinidae. The record is from Ensembl.
UUACUUACCUGGCAGGAGAGACACCAUGAUCAAAAAGGUGGUUCACCCAGAGGGAGGUUUGGUCAUUGCACUCUGGUUGUGUUGACCCCUGUGAAUUCCCCAAAUGUGGGAAUCUACAUUUAUGCUUUCCUUUGAAAUUUUUUGGGGUGGUCUUGGC